CCUAUAGGGACAAAGGUGACUAAGAGG
This 27-nucleotide non-coding RNA is filed under the name Homo sapiens (human). Lineage: Eukaryota; Metazoa; Chordata; Mammalia; Primates; Hominidae. The record is from RNAcentral.